ACAAUGAGAUCGGACAUAUAAACACGGAUGGCACUUCCAUCGAUUCAAGUUCUUCAAUCAUCUUUUUAAGAUCCAAUUUCUCAGCGCCGGUUGUGGAAAUCAACCCACCACCACUGCCACCUAAAAUGCCAUCUUUAACGGCAGUUUCCAGAUCUAGCACUUGCCCACCACUAGCCAGAACAUCUAGUUUAACAUUUCCUUCUCUUCUACAACUAUUAGGUAGAUACAUCGGCAUUUUGGAAUACCCUUGAGGAAGAAAGACUAGAACUACUAA
Molecule: unclassified non-coding RNA, 274 nt
Filed under: Hevea brasiliensis (rubber tree)
Lineage: Eukaryota; Viridiplantae; Streptophyta; Magnoliopsida; Malpighiales; Euphorbiaceae
Source: RNAcentral